RNAcentral lists this long non-coding RNA (1525 nucleotides) under Macaca fascicularis (crab-eating macaque). RNAcentral describes it as "lncRNA (ENSMFAG00000051685.1)". Lineage: Eukaryota; Metazoa; Chordata; Mammalia; Primates; Cercopithecidae. The record is from RNAcentral.
UUUUUUUUGUUUUUUUCCUCAAACUAAACAAUAUAACUUGGUAAUAGGCAGACAGGGAAUAUGAAGAAUAUUCCAGCUUGGCACCUUCAGGUCAGUUAAGUCCAAUAUUCUGGGUACCUUCAAGAUGCCAGAUAGUCAUUCCUUUGUAUCAUAUGUAUCCAGCACACAGCAGAUUGUGUAUCCAGCACACGGCAGGGCUUAGUAAACAAAUGGAGUGAAUGAAAUAUCCGAAUAGUCCUCAGUUGCCUUACUUAUAAAAUGGGAAAACAAUCAUAUAAUUGUUGAAAGGUUGAAGAGUUGGAGAAAAGUGGUCCCAGAAUAUUUCACAAUCAAGUACUAUUUUUUAGUUCAAAUCAAAUUAAAACAGAUUUACAAAUGAAAACAUAAAAGGAAAAAUAGGUAAGAGACUACUAUUGAAUUACUGUCUAGCUGUGUAAUCUUUGCUUAACUUUUCCGAAGCUCAUUUGUAAAGCGGAUAAUCACACUUACCUUGAAAGGCUCUAAUACUCUGCCAAGCACAUGAGCUGGGCCCAGGGGUGGGAGUAUAUGGUGUUGUGGUUAAGAGCAGAGGCUAGGAGCCAGACCUGAGUUUGAAUCCCAGCUCUGCCUCUGACUAAAUGUGUGAUACCUACUAUGUGUGUAACCUUAAGCAAUUUAAUUUCUUUCUGCCUCAGCUUUCCUCAUCUGCAAAAUGGGAACAAUAAGUAUACUUAUCUCGGAGGGCUGUGGUGAGGACUGCAUAUAAACUAAUGAAUGUUGUAUAUUAAUAAAAGUUCACAGCUAUUCUUAUUUCAGAUUUUCUAUGUAAUCUGAAAGAGAUGCUGAGGCCUGCCCUAAUUUGUUCUUAGACUGCAACUGCUUGACUGGCAGUUGGUUCCCAUUUCCUCCUUCCUCCCAAACUGGGUGUUCACAGCUCACAUUUAACCUGUGCCCGCCCCCACCAAGUCCAACUCCCGAGUUAGACCUUCUGUUCUCCUCCAAACCCCUAUAUAUGUACAUAUAUAUGUAGUAAUUUAAUUUAAAAAUUCACCAGUGCUUUUUUUUUUUUUUUUGGUCAUUAAUAUUCAGGGGCAUUCAUGUUCCUAGCUGGUUUAUAUUUGGAUUGUUUUUUUCUCUGGAUUAUUCCAAAUUUUUGCCUAUUGAGUUGAUGGCCACUUAAAAGACAGAGAAAUUCUUGGCAUGUAGAAUUUGGAAGGAAAUAGAAAGGCAAACAAGAAAUAAGGAUGAGCACUAUUCUGCACGGAGAUCUGUGAUGAGAAAAGAGAACCAAACCAAACUCCAAGAUGUUUGUGUAGCUAGUUUGUUAGUUACUUUGAUAUGCUGGUGUCAUAUCAUCACUAUGCUGGCAAUUGGAAACAAUUUAAAUAGGUGCUUGAAUUAUUCCCACUGUAACAUUAUUUUGAUUCCAUCCUUUGUCCACGUUAAUGCACUUCCCCCAAAUCUUUUGAAGAUUCCAUGGAAUUCCUCAAAUAGACAGUGAGGCAUCAGGAAGCCAACAAAGUUUUGUUUUGUUUUGUUUUGUCUG